This is a long non-coding RNA of Culex quinquefasciatus (southern house mosquito), 665 nucleotides long. RefSeq lists it as uncharacterized. Lineage: Eukaryota; Metazoa; Arthropoda; Insecta; Diptera; Culicidae. The transcript is spliced from 2 exons. The record is from RefSeq and is a predicted model, not a curated record.
CACAAACUCGGUCUAUUUCCCGGACGACACCAUCGCGAGCAGUUGGAACGCUCUUUCUACUGCUGUGCCCGAAAGUGAAGUUUACUUUUAAAGUGCCACAAAAGUGCUAGUUGUGCCACCCCAGAGCUUCAGGAGAAGCCGAAUUGUUCCCGUGUGGAAUUGGAGGACACCAGGACCCCUUGUGCUUUGGCAUAGCCAUUACGGCCAAGUGCACCAUCCGGAGACUCGCGCUACAUCCGAGUCGCCGCAGAAGCCGAACAGCUCGUACCUGUUCCUUAGUCCGGGAGUCCGGAUACCCUCGACGGUAAUCCGAAGGCCACUGCCGUAACCAUCGGUGGCGGAGGACAGGACGAGCCGCUUAACGGGUCCAUCGACGAUCGCGCCGGAGCGCCAGUAACACCCCGCGCGAGGACGAACGGCCUAGCCGUACGCCAAGAGAGAGAGUUGGUAGCAGAAGUGAGAGAAGAGGUUGAAGCGGAAGGAGAGGAGAGCAGGAAGCGGAAGGUGAAGUACCGGCGUCGCUGGAGUGCUGCGGUCGACGACGGGGCCCCGAAGAGAGGAGAAGAAGAAGAAGAAGUGAAAGGUCAGGUCAGUGUAGGAUUAAGAAAGUGGGAGGAAUAAAGCACUGUAGAAGAAGGAGAAAUAAAGUGUGUUUCUGACCCGCA